This is a long non-coding RNA of Carassius gibelio (silver crucian carp), 1086 nucleotides long. RefSeq lists it as uncharacterized. The transcript has 3 exons. NCBI's taxonomy places the organism in Eukaryota, Metazoa, Chordata, Actinopteri, Cypriniformes, Cyprinidae. The record is from RefSeq and is a predicted model, not a curated record.
ACAAUUUACUUAGCAAAUGGUGAUAAUGUUUGUUAAUGAAAGAGAGUACGGGACAAAUUAACAUUUAAACCUUAAACUAGCAGCGCACGUCACUUUCUGAAUGAGGUGCGCGACGUGCGCGUGCCCGUCAUUUUGUAACGGUCAACUUCCAGCGGACGGACACGGAGGAAAGGGCCUGACAACCACCAGUUGAGUCCAUGAUUCAGGGAAGAGACAGUCUGGGCAGCAGCAACAAGACAACUAUUACAAGUAGAGAUGGGUUUCAAGAACUGGUACUAAUUUGGUUCCUGACUUGUUCAGUACUGAAAACAUUUACAUAAGGUACAGGAUCAAUAGUGCUGCUAUCAGUAUUCUUGUAACAUUGAUUCAUUACCCUUUAGACACAACCACAUAUCCUCCAAAUCAUCUCUGCGUGGAUGGCAGCAAGGAUCCAGGAUCAAGAGGUCAUUCUUCAUGGAGACUGUUCCACAGGAAGCAGUUUCUCCUGGGUGAAAAACUAAACCUGGUUGUUUCAGCAUCACUCAGGCAAGACUUAAUACUUUUAAAUUGAUUUCAGUUGGUUAUGUGUUUCAGGUCAUCCUGACCAUUCUGCUGUCCUGGAUGUAAGGCCGUGCUGGAACUACAUUUCUCGUUGUUGAAAGAUUUGUGCAGCGGUAUCCAGACAUAUAACGCCCCAUCACACGGGGCGUCAACGCCUCUUGUUUACUUUUAAAUGAAGUGACGUCAAGGAUGGUGAAAUUAAUUCUAGAAAUUAAUUCUAAAUAGAAGUUGAAGACUUCUCAAGCGCCAAUGCAGCCGUCCUCCAGUCAGAACAUCCUAUGCAAAUACCCUAGCGCAGACGCAAGCCAAUCGAGUGCAUGCAAUACCAGAAAACUAAUGUGAUUGGCUGUCACUAUGAGAAGAGACAGUAAUUCUGAUCCGAUAUCAGUGUCGUUUUUUGCAAAAAAAAAUUUAAAUCAAUGUAGAAUUUUCUAUACUUCUGUGUAGGGAUGUCAAUUUUCAAUCAUUUCCAUGAUCGAUCGUCGUUUAAAUUAAUGAACAAAUAAUCGAUUAAUCGUUAACCUUAAUGCUGCAAAGUCUAUUGCA